RNAcentral lists this ribosomal RNA (253 nucleotides) under uncultured bacterium. Its description in RNAcentral is "partial 16S ribosomal RNA". It matches the Rfam family "Bacterial small subunit ribosomal RNA", at positions 524 to 776 of the family's 1533-position model. The record is from RNAcentral.
UACGUAGGCAGCGAGCGUUGUUCGGAGUUACUGGGCGUAAAGAGUGCGUAGGCGGUUUUCUAAGUUUGGUGUGAAAUCUCCCGGCUCAACUGGGAGGGUGCGCCGAAGACUGGAAGGCUUGAGUAUGGGAGAGGUAAGCGGAAUUCCUGGUGUAGCGGUGAAAUGCGUAGAUAUCAGGAGGAACACCUGCGGUGUAGACGGCUUACUGGACCAUAACUGACGCUGAGGCACGAAAGCGUGGGGAGCAAAAGGG